RNAcentral lists this ribosomal RNA (634 nucleotides) under uncultured bacterium. RNAcentral describes it as "bacterial SSU rRNA". It matches the Rfam family "Bacterial small subunit ribosomal RNA", at positions 44 to 658 of the family's 1533-position model. The record is from RNAcentral.
GCGCUUAACACAUGCAAGUCGAGCGAGAAAGGACUUCGGUCCCGGUAAAGCGGCGCACGGGUGAGUAAUACGUAGGUAAUUUGCCCCCAGGUGGUGGAUAACCUUCCGAAAGGAGGGCUAAUACAGCAUGAGACCACGGCUCCGAGAGGAGCAGAGGUCAAAGCCGGCCUCUUCAUGAAAGCUGGUGCCAGGGGAUGAGCCUACGGCCCAUCAGCUAGUUGGUAGGGUAAUGGCCUACCAAGGCGAAGACGGGUAGCUGGUCUGAGAGGAUGAUCAGCCACACUGGAACUGAGACACGGUCCAGACUCCUACGGGAGGCAGCAGUGGGGAAUCUUGCGCAAUGGGCGAAAGCCUGACGCAGCGACGCCGCGUGAGUGAUGAAGGCCCUCGGGUUGUAAAGCUCUGUGGAGAGGAACGAAUAAGGGUUGGCUAAUAUCCAGCCCGAUGACGGUACCUCUUUAGCAAGCACCGGCUAACUCUGUGCCAGCAGCCGCGGUAAGACAGAGGGUGCAAACGUUGUUCGGAAUUACUGGGCGUAAAGCGCGUGUAGGCGGCUCGGAAAGUCGGAUGUGAAAGCCCUGGGCUCAACCCAGGAAGUGCACCCGAAACUCCCGAGCUCGAGUCCUGGAGAGGA